GGGAAACAGGGAGUUUGUUGCUGUUCAAAGGAUAUAAAGUUUCAGUUAUGUAAGAUGAAUAAAUUGUAGAGAUCUGCUGUACAACACUGUGCCUACUGUUAACAUCACUAUAUCUUCCACUUAAAAAUGUGUUAAGAGGGUAAAUCUCAUCUUGUGUUCUUAACACCAGUUUAAAGAAAAUGAAAGAAUUAAGGACAUAUGGAAACAAAAAAGAUUCGAGGGGGAAAAAAUAGGCAGCUAAUUGACAAUGCAGAGGCACAAACUCAGGUCCCCUGUUGUCAGUUUCUGUUGUUGUUUGCAAUUUUUCUGGAAAAAAAAGCACCCUUUAAAGUUUUAUUGUGUUUGUUAUUUUGUUUCAAGUUCAUAACAUAAUUUGUAAUAACUCUAUCUUAAGCGAUUCUCCGAGAACCAGUUUUAGAGACAAGAUUCGAGUAGAAGCAGUUUCUUAGGGAAAAGAUUACAGAAAACAGCAAUACUGAACAGCAGUGCUGAGAAAGGGAAAAGAAGGAAAUAAAAGGUAUGCUAUCAAGCAAGUUACAAUUGCAGAAACCUGGAGUGGACUUUUGGGGGCACCCAGGAUAGAGCAAGAAAUACACACCUCAGAGUUACUCCACCAACUGAAUCCAGAUCUCGCUCUUUAUCUCUACCACCGAGCACGGGACCAAUAGUGAAUAAACACGGCAUAAUUCACUGGAUUAAGAAAACCCAAGCAUUCUGAACUCAUCACUGGCUUGACGGACUUCUUUUACCAAAAGUAGAAAAGCUUUGUAUAUAGCCUGUCACCAAUGCAAAGAUUUUCCUUAUGGCAUGGAUUCCUAGACGCUGUUUUAGAACAAGCACUGGUCUAGAAAUAAGUUUUUACCAAUCUGUGCUAAAAUAAGAAAAAAAAAUAGUAAUUUCAAAAUUUUGUGAAACUUAUACACGUUGGAUUAAAGAAUGUGAUGAGAAUUUAA
Long non-coding RNA from Herpailurus yagouaroundi (jaguarundi), 953 nucleotides. RefSeq lists it as uncharacterized. The record is from RefSeq and is a predicted model, not a curated record. The transcript is spliced from 2 exons. Lineage: Eukaryota; Metazoa; Chordata; Mammalia; Carnivora; Felidae.